This is a long non-coding RNA of Salvelinus fontinalis (brook trout), 1042 nucleotides long. RefSeq lists it as uncharacterized. NCBI's taxonomy places the organism in Eukaryota, Metazoa, Chordata, Actinopteri, Salmoniformes, Salmonidae. The record is from RefSeq and is a predicted model, not a curated record. The transcript has 2 exons.
CAGUACAGUCAAAACAACAUACUACAUACUGUUCACAAUAUAGAAACACCCAUGUACACACACACACACACCAGGAUAGGAUCGAUGGCAAUGAGGCCACUCAGAAGAGCAGCAAAAACAGCAGAGAAAGGGAGAGGGAGAGAGAGAGAGAGAGAGAUCAAUCCUCCCUGGGGAGUAAUGACUAUUCUGUUUAACUCUGUGUUUUCUUCUUGCAGCCCUUCCUGUGCUGUCCAUGCCUGGAAGCUGUGCUGUGUUACAGGGACCGGGAGGGAGAGAGAGAGUCGUCCUGACAGAACACUGCACAGAGUGGUCCCUGUUAGCUCAGCCAGACAAUCUCUGCAGCAAAUCAGCUAACGUGGUGUCAGGAACUGGGCUUCUGCUUCGCUGUGCUCUUCUUAGCCUUAAGUGCAGGAGCCUUGUAUCCCUGCAUUAAGGCUGGCUAGGGGGAGGAUUGUCUGAUGCCUGGAUAGUUGUCUGGAGCCUAACCCACACAAGAACAGAGGAAUAUUCUGAGAAGACAGCUCUUAGACAAGAUGGUGCAAGGCAUGGAAAGAUAGGUGAAACAGCGGCAAAGGGUCACAGAGAAGCCUCACAACACUGAUUUAUUUUCCUGAAGCCUGUUGAAGAAUGACAGCGGGACUUGCCCUUCGAAUUUAGGAAUUGGGAAAAGGUUGUACGUGUCACUCCCUGACUUUAGUUAUAUUUGUUUUCUUAAUUUUUUGGUUAGGUCAGGAUGUGACAAGGGUGGUUUGUUUAGUUUUUUAAUUUGUCUAGGGUUUUUUUACUUUUUUGUCUAGCUAUGGGGAUUUGGUAUGGUCUUGGGGAUUGUAGGUUUAUGGUGGUCUGAAUUGGUUCCCAAUCAGAGACAGCUGUUUCUCGUUGUCUCUGAUUGGGGAGCCUAUUUAGGUUGCCAUUUUCCAUGUUGGUUUUGUGGGUAGUUGUUUUCUGUUUUGUAUGAGUACAUGACAGAACUGUUGCGUUUUGUUCCACUUUUGUUUUUUUGUUUCAGUGUUCAGGUUUUAAUAAACAUCAUGAACACGUA